AGUGAACGCUGGCGGUAGGCCUAACACAUGCAAGUCGAACGGCAGCACAGUAAGAGCUUGCUCUUACGGGUGGCGAGUGGCGGACGGGUGAGGAAUACAUCGGAAUCUACUUUUUCGAGGGGGAUAACGUAGGGAAACUUACGCUAAUACCGCAUACGACCUACGGGUGAAAGCAGGGGAUCUUCGGACCUUGCGCGAUUGAAGGAGCCGAUGUCGGAUUAGCUAGUUGGCGGGGUAAAGGCCCACCAAGGCGACGAUCCGUAGCUGGUCUGAGAGGAUGAUCAGCCACACUGGAACUGAGACACGGUCCAGACUCCUACGGGAGGCAGCAGUGGGGAAUAUUGGACAAUGGGCGCAAGCCUGAUCCAGCCAUACCGCGUGGGUGAAGAAGGCCUUCGGGUUGUAAAGCCCUUUUGUUGGGAAAGAAAAGCAGCAGGUUAAUACCCCGCUGUUCUGACGGUACCCAAAGAAUAAGCACCGGCUAACUUCGUG
This 492-nucleotide ribosomal RNA is filed under the name uncultured bacterium. RNAcentral's name for it is "partial 16S ribosomal RNA". It matches the Rfam family "Bacterial small subunit ribosomal RNA", at positions 29 to 507 of the family's 1533-position model. The record is from RNAcentral.